RNAcentral lists this long non-coding RNA (834 nucleotides) under Trifolium pratense (red clover). RNAcentral's name for it is "long non-coding RNA (TPRA_LNC004947)". The record is from RNAcentral. Lineage: Eukaryota; Viridiplantae; Streptophyta; Magnoliopsida; Fabales; Fabaceae.
UAACCAGUGUUGUAAAGUCAAACAUAAAUUUAUCCUUUCAUUGUGCAGGAUAAAAAUGGAAUGCUACAAAUUGCUGACGAUGUAAGUAGCACUUCACACUCAUUACAGAAUUGUUCACUAUUUCCUUUCUUAGCUGCCAUGUAUUUCUGAUAAGUGUAGGGGAUACAAAUUCUGAUGUCAUAAUCCUAGAGGUUGCUAAUUUCAUUUGAUGAACAGGAACUGCUUGAGGAUCCUGCUGUUAUUAGUGCCAUAGAUGAAGAGACUGAAUUCAAUGCCCUGGUGGUAUGUGAUUUAAUAUUCCAAAGUAACAUUUUUCAUUGGUUAUGAAGUCUGACUCCAUUCAUAUUUAUAGUUUGUGUUGUCUUACACACAGGAGGAAGAACACGCACUCCUUAACGCACUGUUGGCCGCUGAGUAAAAUAUAACCAUAUAUACUCACAUUGGAUUAAAGCUAUCUUACUGUUUCCCUUUUAGUUUUUCAUCUGGAUUGCCGCGACCUCGUUUGACUGCUGAAUUUUGUGGGUAGAAUAGCUUCUUUUAUGUACAUGAUCAACUUUGUAUUUAUGCAGCAGUAUGCAUAUUUUAGUAAGAAUUGAGGGCUGAAACAAUUUUGUUUGUUGUGCAUGUGGAUGCAUGCGUGCAUAUGGGUGGGUAGAUAUAGUAUACUCCCUCUAGGAGUAAGUUUUCAACUGUACUGUUAUUACUGUUAAAUCCAACUUUUUUAUAGUAUCAUAUCAUAAUCAUAAUAUCAUAAUGAGUUCAAAAUUAGUAGUACUUUUCAAUCUUCAUUGACCUUAAUUUAUUGUCAAUAUGAAUUCAUGAUUUCAAAUUGAA